ACGGGUGAGUAACGCGUGGGUAACCUGCCUUAUACAGGGGGAUAACAGUUGGAAACGACUGCUAAUACCGCAUAAGCGCACAGUGCUGCAUGGCACGGUGUGAAAAGAUUUAUCGGUAUAAGAUGGACCCGCGUCUGAUUAGCUAGUUGGUGAGGUAAUGGCUCACCAAGGCGACGAUCAGUAGCCGGCUUGAGAGAGUGAACGGCCACAUUGGGACUGAGACACGGCCCAAACUCCUACGGGAGGCAGCAGUGGGGAAUAUUGCACAAUGGGGGAAACCCUGAUGCAGCGACGCCGCGUGAGUGAAGAAGUAUUUCGGUAUGUAAAGCUCUAUCAGCAGGGACGAAGAAAUGACGGUACCUGACUAAGAAGCCCCGGCUAACUACGUGCCAGCAGCCGCGGUAAUACGUAGGGGGCAAGCGUUAUCCGGAUUUACUGGGUGUAAAGGGAGCGUAGACGGUGAUGUAAGUCAGAUGUGAAAGCCCAGGGCUCAACCCUGGGACUGCAUUUGAAACUAUGUGACUAGAGUGCAGGAGAGGUAAGUGGAAUUCCUAGUGUAGCGGUG
This 565-nucleotide ribosomal RNA is filed under the name uncultured bacterium. Its description in RNAcentral is "bacterial SSU rRNA". It matches the Rfam family "Bacterial small subunit ribosomal RNA", at positions 102 to 683 of the family's 1533-position model. The record is from RNAcentral.